UUCUUUUGGAAAUGUAUGAAGAACGGGUGG
This 30-nucleotide non-coding RNA is filed under the name Homo sapiens (human). The record is from RNAcentral. Lineage: Eukaryota; Metazoa; Chordata; Mammalia; Primates; Hominidae.